ACAUUACAUAUUUUAAAUUUGUAUUUUUCAAAUUAAAUAUUUUAGGUCCUGGAAAUGUUAUCAUAAAAACAAAUUGUUUGACGCAAAAUAAAAAACAAAGAUUUUGUCAUGGAUUUUUGCAAAUCGGGUCGUCGGUAAUCACCUACGUCCAAAUGCCAGCACGACCAGGGGUCUUUGUUUUCCCUACCUUUGGAAAGUCCAGAACUAUUUCAAUAACAGCUGAAGAUAUUGUGCUGGUCAUCGAGAAGUUUCAUGCCUCAGCUUAACUCCAUGCUACUACCACUGAAGAAAGUAAUGAUGACUCAACCUUUUGGGGUGAGGCGUGCCAGCAUCUGGGCAUUAAUAAUGUCAGUCUCAAUAGGAAGAGGCUUAAAAGUGCCUUUAAGCGACACAAAAAGAUGAAAAUUCAGAAGACGCCUCAAAAAGGACCAGCGCACCCACAUUCUGACCGCCCGGCGACAACAUCUCCGGCGGAAACCCCAGAGUUCCAUUGUACUUCACCCCAAAAUGACUCUGCAUCAUCAUCAUCGUCAUCGUCAUCGCCAUCACCAGAUGAUGAGGAAUACAAGGAACAAUACUUCACCUACAAAUUACCUGACCAACCCUGUUUUUUUUUCAUUCUGGAAAAUGACUGGAAGAAACUCAGGAAGACCCAACACAAACGGCAAUUAAAAACACUGGACUGGAAAGCAUCAUUGCUAAAGGAAUCCGGACUAUCCAUCCACAUUGUAGCUUUGCUUUUAAGCACCACACUUUACAAUCAAUUGGGUCCACAAGGAGUUCAUCAUUAUUUUUUGUAAAGGCUACUCGUCCUUUUGAUGACUGCCCUGUCACAGUUACGGUCAAAGUCAGUGAUGAGUGCUCACUCAAGGCAUCAGUGACUUUUGGUGGAGACAGAGCGUGGCAUCAUUGUGAACAACUUAGAAGAAGGCCUGUGCGUGCUAGUGAAAGGGAUGGGAUAGCAGAUGUCCUCACCACCAAACUUCCGCGGAGUCUAUUCUUGGAGAACCUGGAUAAGCUUGAAGAGAGUGUUGUGGCAUCGGGAUGCAGAGACGAAGUUCCGACAACCGGUGUCAUGAAAACCAUCACAUACAACAGUCGGAAAAAAAGAAGACGGCACAAAAAUGAAAUGACAAGUCUCCAAAUCACGCUGCAGGAAGAACAAGGGUCGGAGGAUGCAGUAAUCCAAAAAAUAAUAAUGCACCUGUAGGAUAUUAGAAACAAUAUACGACCCGGUUCAUGAAAUUAAUAAAAAUGCAUAUAGUGUACACCAAAAUACAGCCAUAAUUCUGAAACUGUGUAAUCAAUAAAGUAAUGACAAUAUUGUAAAACCACUGUAAUUCUGAAACUGUACUAGAAUAAUACCAAUGUACAGGUAUGAUUGUAUUUAAUGUAAUGUAAUCAACUGGAAUGCAUGCAUGUAAUACUUGAACAACAACUGAUAUUGACUAAGGAUCAUUCGAAAUCCGAGUUACAUUGAACCGGUGAGAAGACCGGAAGUGGUCUUCUCACCAGAAGACCACUCCCAGAGGUGUGGACACUAACUUUCACACCUUUAAGCAUUGUUAUAAAUACCUGUAGGAACCAUUGUUCUCGAGUUCGCUGGUGGAGG
Molecule: long non-coding RNA, 1612 nt
Organism: Gasterosteus aculeatus aculeatus (three-spined stickleback)
Lineage: Eukaryota; Metazoa; Chordata; Actinopteri; Perciformes; Gasterosteidae
Source: Ensembl